CUCCCCUCACCAUGGAGUCUCCCCUCACCAUGGAGUCUCCCCUCACCAUGGAGUCUCCCAUCAUCAUCAACCCAGGAUCUUCUUCUGCUCUCUUGAAUUGGGAGACUUUGUCCUCGAAUUCCAUGAGUGGGAGCACCCAAUCAGAAUUGCCUGUAUCUGGAUGAUGUCUGUCAUUUAUCUACCUCCCAGACUUGUUGGGAUCAUCAGGUGAGGUGACGGACAUGAAAAUGCUUUGUCAACAGGAAUGUGCCAUAAAGAUACAAGAUUCGCCCUGAGCUAACAACUGCUGCCAAUCUUUCUCUUUUUCUCUACGACCCGCUGCUACAGCAUGGCCACUGACAGAUGACUGGAAUAUGGACCAUCACAAUUUCUAUCAUAAUAUUGUAUUGCCC
Molecule: long non-coding RNA, 392 nt
Filed under: Equus caballus (horse)
Lineage: Eukaryota; Metazoa; Chordata; Mammalia; Perissodactyla; Equidae
Description: lncRNA (ENSECAG00000050160.1)
Source: RNAcentral